CCAGCACUGCAUCACUGACACGCGCACACACACACACACACACACAUAUCUCGGACGUGAUAUUCACAUGGACAGAGAGUGAUGAGCUGAACAUCUACGGAGCUAGCAAACCAUUCUCUUCUGAACGUGUGUCAUUAGAAAGGUGAUGAUGUUUAUGGUGUGUUUGGUAGGUUAGGGAGGUGAGCGCUGACAUUGAUUAGCAUGAGCUUAUGAUGACACAGAGGCACGUUGGGACCUAACCUCCUGAGCACCGCCCAAACGGAGUUCUGUUCUUGUCCCCUAAGCAGGCGGAGAACAGGGCUUCCUGAUGUGAGGAAAAUAUGCUCUGAAGCUGCUGAAUAUCACAAUAACCACAGUACCACUUGUGACAAAUAAAACAUAUUAAAGUGUACUCAGUUCUGCUGCUUUCAGUAUACUGCUAAAAUACUGCUAGUUGCUUUUUGAAUUAGAAGGAAAAGAGGAAAUUAUUUCCAACGUUGUUAAUUUGGACAAUUGAACAUUGAACUGGAGAAGCACAAUUAAAAACAAAAA
Molecule: long non-coding RNA, 531 nt
Organism: Sander lucioperca (pikeperch)
Lineage: Eukaryota; Metazoa; Chordata; Actinopteri; Perciformes; Percidae
Exons: 2
Source: RefSeq, a predicted model, not a curated record